This 254-nucleotide ribosomal RNA is filed under the name uncultured bacterium. RNAcentral's name for it is "partial 16S ribosomal RNA". It matches the Rfam family "Bacterial small subunit ribosomal RNA", at positions 524 to 776 of the family's 1533-position model. The record is from RNAcentral.
UACAGAGGGUGCGAGCGUUGUUCGGAAUUACUGGGCGUAAAGCGCGCGCAGGCGGAUGAUGCAAGUCUGGAGUGAAAUCUCGCCGCUCAACGGCGAGGCUGCUUUGGAUACUGUACGUCUGGGGACUGGUAGAGGAUGGUAGAAUUCCCGGUGUAGCGGUGGAAUGCGUAGAUAUCGGGAAGAAUACCCGUGGCGAAGGCGGCCAACUGGACGAAUACUGACGCUGAGACACGAAAGCGUGGGGAGCAAACAGG